This 441-nucleotide ribosomal RNA is filed under the name Ichneumon promissorius. RNAcentral describes it as "partial 16S rRNA". The record is from RNAcentral. Lineage: Eukaryota; Metazoa; Arthropoda; Insecta; Hymenoptera; Ichneumonidae.
CUGCUCAAUGAAUAUAUAUUUAAAUAGCUGCGGUAUAUUAACCGUACAAAGGUAGCAUAAUCAAUAGUUUUUUAAUUGAAAGCUGGAAUGAAUGAUUUGAUGAAAUGAAUUUUGUCUCAAAUUUAUUAAUAUUAGAAUUUUUUUUUUAGUAAAAAUACUAAUUUUUUUUUAAAAGACGAGAAGACCCUAUAGAUUUUUUAUAAUUUGUUUUUUUUAAAAAAAAACAAUAAAUUAUUUGGUUGGGGAAAUUAUUAAAUUAAUUAAAUUUUAAUUUUUUUAAACAAUGAUUUUUGAUUAUAUGAUCUUGAUUUUUUGGGAUUAAAAAGAAUAAAAUACCUUAGGGAUAACAGCGUAAUUUUUUUAGAGAGAUCAUAUUAAUAAAAAAGUUUGCGACCUCGAUGUUGAAUUAAGAUAAAAUUUUAAUGAAGAAGUUAAAAAUUU